AUGUGUGUGUGUGUGUGUGUGUGUGUGUGUGUGUGUGUGUGUGUGUGUGUGUGUCCACAGCGGAUUGAGGAGAUCAUGAAGAGGACACGUAAGAGUGAGACGGACUCCUUAUGCCCAGGUGUGUGUGAGGUGAACGGGGGCCAGGCAGGACAUGUCAGGGAGUUGGAUCAGGACGAGUCCCCCAUCAUCACACUGGGACCCCUGGAGAGUAAGAGCUGUGGAGGGGACGAGCUGUCUGACGGGGUACAGUCUAUGGACGUCAGUCCAGUGUCCAGGGAUGAGUUGGGUAGCGUUCAGGAGUUCUCUCCCAUCAGCGAGGGGUUAAACAGCAUAAGUAACACCCAAACCCUGGAGCACCUCCUGGAUCUCACCGCCCAGCCAGAAACGUCCCUUUACCCCAUGCUGCAGGCCGGCAGUGCUGCAGCCCUGGGAGACCUCAACAAGAACCUGCUGAUACAGGAUUAUAACCCCGCCUCCUUCACUAGCUCCUCCCCAAGCUCCGCCCAACUUCUCCACAGCCUCAGCCCUGGCAAACUGGACAUCUAGUAACCAGGGCUUUGGGAAGGACAACUAGCUGUUGGGUGCAAAGAGGAGCUAGGAGCAGCAAGGGGGUCUCUCCUCUCCUCCUGCUUCCCCCCAUCAGAGAGAGACCAGCUCCUUGCACCUCCGCCCUCACCCCUCUUUAGGGGAGAGACCCUCCCCAUUCACCCCCGGCUUCCACAGAGAACAACAACCGCUCAAUAUAUGGCUCGCCCUCAUCUAUACAACUCAACCACAGGAGGCUGCUGAAGGGAGGACGGCUCAUAAUAAUGUCUGGGAAAGGAACAAAUGGAAUGGCAUCAAACACCUUGAAACCAUGUGCCUAACGUAUUCGAUACCAUUCCACUAAUUCCGCUCCAGUCAUUACCACGAGCCAUUCUCCUCAAUUAAGGUGCCACCAACCUCCUCAACACAUCUACCGCUGAAUUCCCCAUUCACACACACACACACUGACAUGUACACACACGGUUAAUACUCUCCUGGUAAAGUAAAGCUUUUUCUCUGUGUCCUGGCUGUAUGAUAUUGUGCAUAAAGGUGUGUCAGUGUUGAGAGGAGGAUGAUGUAAUAGUAUGGUUGUGUUAUCCGCCUGUAGCAUUAAUUAUGUGGUUAACACUGACCAUGUGACCCUGUAGCAUCUUCACUGGAGAACACCUCUCUUCCUCCUGUAUAUACUAUAGUCACACAGCUGUUAACUAGCUCUAGGUAGAAGUUGCCCCUAACCACAGAUCUAGCAUCAGAUCUUUCUAACCCUCAAUAACCUUAACUAUUGGGGAGAUGAAAAUAUAGUCUGACCCUGUAUCAGUGGUUAGUGGCAACAGUUACAACGACUGUGUUUGGAGUUUCUGUCAGUGUUUCUAGUGGUGGAAGGUUAUAUCCUACCACCACUGAUGUGCUGCACUACUGUUUGCCAGGACUCAGGAGUCUAUUCGACUACUAUCGGUACUUAGAACUCAGCUAGCCAGUCUAGAUAUGUUAACCUCCUGCAACUGGAGAAACCUACUCAUCUACAGAUGUGGAUGAUAUAGUAAGACAAAAGUCUGGCCUCAGUUGAUAUGCUUUUGUCCACCACCGCUCCUUAGUGGUGCAUCAAAACACGUGGAAGACUGGAGCAUCUCUGAAUAUAAUCUCUGCAAAAAGAAAUGAAAACUGUGAAUGGUCUCGUAUUUUUUAGCUAUUUACAGGGUUGGGGGAUAUUGAAAAGAUGUGGCGUGUGUUUUUGGCUGGCUGUGCGUACGCUAGCUGUGGUGUAGUUAGUGUGCACUGUGUGGUCGUGUAACAGCUCUAAAAACACUCAUCUCUGCUCUGAACUGGACUAUUUAUGCUGCAACUACCAGUCAACCUACAGCAGGGGUCUCCACCUGCAGUCCUGGAGGGCACUGCUUGUGCAGGCUUUCGUUCACACCUGAUUCCACUGAUCAUGGUUCAUACUGAAACGGUGAUUAGUUGAAUCAAGUGGGUUUGGGACAGGGCUGAAACAAAAGCCUGCAUACCCAGGCCAGUAGUUCUCUAGCACCAAAGUUGGAGAACCCUGUCCUACAGUAUCUCACCAGUCUGUGUAUUCACUCAGUCAGUCAACUCUGUAACAGACUCUGGUGUGCAACAGCUAUAUUCACUAUGACUGUGGCUUUACCUCAUGGAGAUUUCUCUCACUACAGAGGACACUUCACAGUCUGCUGUCUACUACUGCUGUGAAUUCUAGAAUCAUACAUUCUCCCUGUACUGUAACUGUCUUGUUUGGAUUUUACUGUAACACUUGCCUAUGCUUUGCUCUGGGGGAGGGUGUAGCUCAGCAUGUGUGCUCCCUCUCCUCGCUGUUUCAAUCUCUGUUUCAGUUCCCCCUGAAGGGCAGUGUAAGGUGUUAAUCAUUCCUCAUGACCCAGCUAACCCUGUGAGGGGGAACACUGAAUUGUGUGCAUUAAUGGCUGUAAUAAUGAUGCUGUAUCUCAAUUACUGGACUAGAGUAGGUAAAGGGCUGGAAUGUCCACUUAUCUUUGCUGUCUUCAGUGCAUUGGACUCUUGAUUUAGUUAACAUGUAUUUUCGUCCAUCUCUCUUCCUCUCUCUUUCUGUACUCGCUCAUUAUCUCAUGCUUUCAGAGGCUGUUAACAUUCAUUGUAUCCUAAGGGAAAAUGUAGUUAACUUAAGACUUAAGGUCAGAAUGUUAUUCACUAAAAGUCACUUAACACUGAUGUCACUGCAGCUUGGCGGAAUAUAUAACUGUAGAUGUGGUGCAUGGUUCUAACUGCUGAAAAACAACAAUAAAACAUCAUCAAGCCAUGUUUGGGACUUUGUUUAUCAAGCAAUG
RNAcentral lists this long non-coding RNA (2843 nucleotides) under Salmo trutta (river trout). RNAcentral describes it as "lncRNA (ENSSTUG00000027265.1)". Lineage: Eukaryota; Metazoa; Chordata; Actinopteri; Salmoniformes; Salmonidae. The record is from RNAcentral.